AUUGAACGCUGGCGGCAUGCCUUACACAUGCAAGUCGAACGGUAACGGGCCUUCGGGUGCCGACGAGUGGCGAACGGGUGAGUAAUACAUCGGAACGUGCCCGAUCGUGGGGGAUAACGAGGCGAAAGCUUUGCUAAUACCGCAUACGAUCUACGGAUGAAAGCAGGGGACCGCAAGGCCUUGCGCGGACGGAGCGGCCGGUGGCAGAUUAGGUAGUUGGUGGGAUAAAAGCUUACCAAGCCGACGACCUGUAGCUGGUCUGAGAGGAUGAUCAGCCACACUGGGACUGAGACACGGCCCAGACUCCUACGGGAGGCAGCAGUGGGGAAUUUUGGACAAUGGGCGCAAGCCUGAUCCAGCCAUGCCGCGUGCAGGAUGAAGGCCUUCGGGUUGUAAACUGCUUUUGUACGGAACGAAAAGCCUUCUUUUAAUACAGGAGGGUCAUGACGGUACCGUAAGAAUAAGCACCGGCUAACUACGUG
RNAcentral lists this ribosomal RNA (482 nucleotides) under uncultured bacterium. Its description in RNAcentral is "partial 16S ribosomal RNA". It matches the Rfam family "Bacterial small subunit ribosomal RNA", at positions 30 to 507 of the family's 1533-position model. The record is from RNAcentral.